This 253-nucleotide ribosomal RNA is filed under the name uncultured bacterium. Its description in RNAcentral is "partial 16S ribosomal RNA". It matches the Rfam family "Bacterial small subunit ribosomal RNA", at positions 524 to 776 of the family's 1533-position model. The record is from RNAcentral.
UACGUAGGGGGCAAGCGUUGUCCGGAUUUAUUGGGCGUAAAGAGCGUGUAGGCGGCCAGGUAGGUCCGUUGUGAAAACUCGAGGCUCAACCUCGAGACGUUGAUGGAAACCAUCUGGCUAGAGUCCGGAAGAGGAGAGUGGAAUUCCUGGUGUAGCGGUGAAAUGCGCAGAUAUCAGGAAGAACACCCGUGGCGAAAGCGGCUCUCUGGAACGGUACUGACGCUGAGACGCGAAAGCGUGGGGAGCGAACAGG